UCACUUCAGCAGCACGUAUACUAAAAUUGGAAUUAUACAGAGAUUAGCAUGGCCCCUGUAAAAGGACGGCACGCAAAUUUGUGAAGUGUUCCAUACUAAA
This 100-nucleotide small nuclear RNA is filed under the name Castor canadensis (American beaver). Lineage: Eukaryota; Metazoa; Chordata; Mammalia; Rodentia; Castoridae. The record is from RNAcentral.